Molecule: ribosomal RNA, 255 nt
Filed under: uncultured marine alveolate
Lineage: Eukaryota
Description: partial 18S ribosomal RNA
Rfam family: Eukaryotic small subunit ribosomal RNA
Source: RNAcentral
GUUAAAAAGCUCGUAGUUGGAUUUCUGUCAGCGAGUGGCGCUCCGCCCCCUGUGGUGAGUAGUCGUCAUGCCGCCGGCAUCUUUCUGGGGAGCGUGUCUGCACUUCAUUGUGUGGUGCGCAAGCCAGAACUUUUACUUUGAGGAAAUGAGAGUGUUUCAAGCAGGCAAUCGCCGUGAAUACGUUAGCAUGGAAUAAUAGCAUCGGACCUCGUCCCAAAGCUGUUGGUUCCUUGGGGUGAGGUAAAGGUGAAUAGG